GUGGGGUUGCAUACCGGUGUCCCCGCUGGGUACCGGAGGACAAGGGGCCACAGCAUCCUGGGGUGUCUUUGCCAGGAUGCUCCACACCAGGUUUUCUGUCCACCGCAGGAUUUAGGAAGCGCUUGGCAAGCGCUCGGUGAGUGCCCAUGCACUGCAGCAAUGAUCGAUACAGCUCUCAGCUUCGCCCCUUACCACCAGCACAGAGCAGCGUGGGAGCUGUUACGGCCGGGGGCUGCCGGCAGGAUCCAUCCCUGCAACCCCAUCUGCUCCGGUUCAAAGGGCUGAGAUGGAGCUCUGUGCUGCGGUGAAAUCGGCGUUGGAGGGAUUAGGGCAGGAGGGGCCGGUGCUGCUGGGAGCAGAGUGGGCUCUCAGUCAGAGAGAAGCAGAGCCUGACAGUGCUGUGACUCCCUCUUCUUAAGGAGAUGAGCUUGCAGUAAAGCAAGGAGCACGUGAGAGGCUGAUGUCAACAUUCCCCUUUAUUGCCACGGCGAAAUGUGAAGACUACAUUAAUUUGCAUUUGCUGUGUGCAAGUAACGCAUUCCAGAUCAUCGUGGUAACUCCUCAAAGGUAUAGACGAGAAUUUCCUGGAUCGUGUGCUGGAUGGAAAAAGCUGCUGGGAUCCAGGAGAAGGAAACAGCAUUGUGUGUUUUCAUAACUCCACCUGGAAGCGGUGCAGAGGAGCGGGGGAGCAAAGUGGGGCUCUGCACACUGUUGGUGCACGGAGGAUGCGGGCUCUGAGCAACAAAUCACCGACAUCCAUGGGCAGGGGCACAGCUGCACCACGAAGCCUUUAACACGUCCUUCCUCCAUAAAACAAACAACCCGUCGCUAACUGGAAGUCACGCCGUUCUUACUUGGAGCCACGUGCUGAACGGACGGGCGCUGGGGCUGAGAUAAUGGUGACCCUUUGUGCGCGGAGCUGACGGAUGCAUCGCGCCCUGCGCGGAGCUCACCUCGCACCCGCAGUAAAUCAGCGGCGCUGAGCUCAGUGCUCCACGUGCACGUGGCCGUGGUGCAGAGCUGGGGAUCUUCUGGAUCGAUACGGCAAGUGCAUCGAGACUGUAGCAACACAUUUAAAACCUUAUAAAAGGUUAUUUAGUUGCUAACGGUGCAGCAGUUUCUGCAAAGCCUGCCAAAAGGUUACAGCUUUUUGGGCAUCAUAAAUUACGGACGACGGGGAAAAAAACUGCCCAACCUGUUCGUCCUGCUCUCCUGCUUGCAGGGAGCUGGAGCCAGGAGCACUCCUGCAGAUCAUUUCGAUUCGGGUAAAUCAGCGCUUUCCACUCCCCAAAGGAUAUUUCCCACCAGUUGGGCUGCGGGGUCACCUCCAGCAGAGAAGACCUUGAGUGAUGGAUGCUGUGUCUCGCAGCAAGGUGCUCAGAAAGAGCUUGGAAACAGCAUUGGGUCCCAUUGGAAGUGGGGUGAUGGUGUCUGCGCUGCAAAUGAGGACCAACUUGGUGGGGCAUCAACAUGGAUCACAAGGGAAAUGGCCAAAAUGGCGAUUUAUUGGAGGCCGUUGCAUACCUCUUAACCUCAAACACUGCAACAAAGAAGAUGGGAAGCCUGCAGAGCCCCGAGAACCUGGAGACAGCAAACCCUGCUCAUUCCCUGGGCUGGGAGCUCUGCACUGUGCUGGGCUGAGCCAUGCGUGUGCAGAGCAAAGGGCCCUGAGGCCGUCCUGCCCCUCCACUGUGCUUCUCCCUCUUGAAGCCAUGAGGAAUUUCG
Gallus gallus (chicken) is the source of this 1725-nucleotide long non-coding RNA. The record is from Ensembl. Lineage: Eukaryota; Metazoa; Chordata; Aves; Galliformes; Phasianidae.